UACGAAGGAUUCGAGCGUUAUCCGGAUUUAUUGGGUUUACAGGGUGCGUAGGCGGACUGAUAAGUCAGUGGUGAAAGCCUGUUGCUUAACAACAUAACUGCCAUUGAUACUGCCAGUCUUGAGUACAGUUGAGGUAGGCGGAAUGUGUCAUGUAGUGGUGAAAUACUUAGAUAUGACACAGAACACCGAUUGCGAAGGCAGCUUGCUAAACUGUAACUGACGCUGAGGCACGAAAGCAUGGGGAGCAAACAGG
This 253-nucleotide ribosomal RNA is filed under the name uncultured bacterium. RNAcentral's name for it is "partial 16S ribosomal RNA". It matches the Rfam family "Bacterial small subunit ribosomal RNA", at positions 524 to 776 of the family's 1533-position model. The record is from RNAcentral.